Molecule: long non-coding RNA, 1401 nt
Organism: Oncorhynchus tshawytscha (Chinook salmon)
Lineage: Eukaryota; Metazoa; Chordata; Actinopteri; Salmoniformes; Salmonidae
Source: Ensembl
GUCCACAGAAGGCAGCAGGCAACAGACGAGGGAAGGCAACAGAAGACAGCAGAUAACAGAAGACAGCGUGUAACAGAAGACAGCAGGCAACAGAAGACAGCGUGUAACAGCAGACAACAGAAGACAGCGUGUAACAGAAGACAGCGUGCAACAGAAGACAGCGUGUAACAGAAGACAGCAGGCAACAGAAGACAGCAGGUAACAGAAGGAGGCAGGUAAAUUAGUCUCCUCUUCUUCAUUUAAACUGAAGACCUGACAACUGCACUUCCACACCGACCACUGUGUGUGAGGAGAGGAGAGGGGGGGGAAACACGUGCAUACACACAUAUACACACUCCUUACAGAUCAUUUCAGUGUGUAUUUGAUAGUACACCAACACAAAACACACACCAGCAGCGCCCUUCUAAACUCAGCUGGUCCCUGCUGUCCUCGUGCCUCGUCGACAGAGGAGAAUACAUUCAGUGGAUUUGGGUUCAACAACACGAUGCAGCACACAAACACACUCUCACACACUACCUACUGCACACAGGACAGAACAGAGCCUUAGAAAUAGGCCUACAAAGUGACUGUUGAUAAACAGACUCAGAUUAUUAUUAUUUUUUAAAAGAGGCCAUUUUGUCACCAAAGGCUCCAUGAUAGUAAGAUUCUAAAUUGCAUUCUCACUGGAAUGGAACAAUGGUAACAACAUGGUGUCCAUUGUAAUUCUCUAGACGCAGAUUGAUUGGUAGUACAGUAUCAGUUCUGUUUUGUGAUCCUGCUAGCAAUGAGUAGGGUGUGAGUGAGAAUGACUCCCAGCAAACCAUUUUUUUACAAAAUAAAAAAAAUAAAAAAUACAUUCCAAAAGGGUCGCCGAGAGUCGUGUGGUCUGGAGUCCUUUGGUGUUUAUCAAACAACGGGAACAUUUAACAAAAAUAAAACCUGAAAAUUAAACAUCAAACAGUACAUUUCAAGGAAAUAAUUCAAAAAGCUAAAUGUUUCCAUUUUCGAGAUUGAGAACGUGUAAUAUGCAAAAACGGACACACAGAAAAGAUUGGUCGCGUUCCAGCCCGUCUUUACCACACACACACACAUGCAGAAAUCUCAGGAUUUUCACAACCCAACUGCAAAGAAAAAGGGUCCUGGAACAUGGCCAAUGAGACUCGUACUGAGGUCAUAACAGAAAGGUUCACUACAUUAUCACUAUGGUGGACACAUUUCACUGACACCCGCAUCACUAGGGGGUAAACAUUUCACUGUGACACCCGCAUCACUAUGGGGGACACAUUUCACUGUGACACCCACAUCACUAUGGGGAAACAUUUCACUGUGACACCCGCCUCACUAUGGGGGACACAUUUCACUGUGACACCCGCCUCACUAUGGGGGACACAUUUCACUGUGACACCCACAUCACUAUGGGGG